Molecule: ribosomal RNA, 495 nt
Filed under: uncultured bacterium
Lineage: Bacteria
Description: partial 16S ribosomal RNA
Rfam family: Bacterial small subunit ribosomal RNA
Source: RNAcentral
CGAACGCUGGCGGCGUGCCUAAUACAUGCAAGUUGAGCGCUGAAGGUUGGUACUUGUACCAACUGGAUGAGCAGCGAACGGGUGAGUAACGCGUGGGGAAUCUGCCUUUGAGCGGGGGACAACAUUUGGAAACGAAUGCUAAUACCGCAUAAAAACUUUAAAUACAAGUUUUAAGUUUGAAAGAUGCAAUUGCAUCACUCAAAGAUGAUCCCGCGUUGUAUUAGCUAGUUGGUGAGGUAAAGGCUCACCAAGGCGAUGAUACAUAGCCGACCUGAGAGGGUGAUCGGCCACAUUGGGACUGAGACACGGCCCAAACUCCUACGGGAGGCAGCAGUAGGGAAUCUUCGGCAAUGGACGAAAGUCUGACCGAGCAACGCCGCGUGAGUGAAGAAGGUUUUCGGAUCGUAAAACUCUGUUGGUAGAGAAGAACGUUGGUGAGAGUGGAAAGCUCAUCAAGUGACGGUAACUACCCAGAAAGGGACGGCUAACUACGUG